Long non-coding RNA from Chelonoidis abingdonii (Abingdon island giant tortoise), 1597 nucleotides. RefSeq lists it as uncharacterized. Lineage: Eukaryota; Metazoa; Chordata; Testudines; Testudinidae. The record is from RefSeq and is a predicted model, not a curated record.
UGGGCUCCAGGCGUUGCUUGGCCUCAGGCCCGCGGCGGGUGCCCGGCAGGCCGGGAGGAGCACGUACCCGAAUGUGUUUCCUUCGGGCAGGCUCGUGGUGGCAGGACUAGGAGGGCAUGGCCCUCCUGAGCACAUCACCACCUUCACCUGCUCAUCCCCCAAGCUGAGCAGGCAUAUCGUCUCCAUAGUUCCACAUUCAACACCCUAGUCGGCCACUAGACCAAACUCUUGUUGCUCUGACAAUGAGAAUGUCUAGACUGGGUCAGACCAACGGUCCGUCUCGCUCAGUAUCCUGUCUUCCGACAGUGGCCAGUGCCAGGUUUUUCAUAUGGCAUGUGCCGAAGAGGGAAUUUAUUGCAUGAUCCGUCCCCAGUUGUCCAAUUCUAGUUUCUGGAAGUUGGAGGUUUACCUCAGAGCAUGUGGUUAUGUCCUUGACCAUCUUGGCUAAUACCCAUUGAAGGACCUAUGCUCUAUGAACUUAUCUGAACAGUACACUUCCUGCAGUGGUUGUAUGCCAGCCUGGAGUACUCUGUGCAGGUCAGGAAAGUAUUCUGCAAUCACAGCCUGAAGGGAGAAAUAGCCACUCCAUAAUCUUUUCCUACAUCAAACUAAUCUGAAUUAUUCUGUCAGAGUCAGAAACCAGACACCAGGGGAAAGCUCCUGAACUUGAGAUGUCAAAAGCAUCUGGUCUGCUUCCUAUUGAUCAUGGACUUGAACAGUUUACUGAUGGAGCCAGCGACAUUUCCUCCCGUGAUGAUUAUUUGUCGGUUUCACUCCAUUGGCUUGAGCUUGAGUUUCCAUGGUAAAGCUCCUUGCUGAGGGCCUGCUCUCACACUGAACUUGAAGGAAAAGCUAAAUGGGAGCUGGAUGCUCCAAUAAUUCAAGAUGCUGAGCACCCAAUGCUAUCGCAGACUGGCAUGCAGCGGGUUAACUGGCUCCUCCACUUGGAGCUAUAACUGUUUCCUGAUCUCCAGUCAUUUGAAGAGUGUUUACUCUACACCUGUGAUGGCAAGAAUGGAGAAUCGAUUGGAGUUUGCAGGUGAAAAUGGAUUGUAAUCUGCUGUCCAUAGUGUCAAUGGAGCUGAAUAGCACAUGUGUCUGUCUCCAAUGGAUUGAUCUCACAGAAAGGCAGCUACGUGCACACAUGGAUGUCGCAAUGGAAGGGGUGCUGGGACACACACUCUGGACUAUCAUGUAUCAAGAUGUAGCAGGACAAUCUCAACACUCCAGAGGUAAAACAUGCAGUGGGAAAGGUCAUUUAACAUGGCCAUUUGCUUAGUGCUGCUUCAGCCUUGACAGAAAGGAACCUGCAAAUCAGGCUUGGGAAACUGUUGGGGUUCAGAGCUUUGAUCUGGUUCCUUAUAUAGACAGGGGAGAGCUGUAGCAUUCAGAUCUGGAUUCAGACCUUCCCAGAGUUUUGGGAUGUUCCAAUCUUGGAUUUUGCAUGCUUUUCUACUGCAGUCUCAAGAAAGCUUCCCCGGUAGAACUUUUUUCAUGCAGGUCCUAGUUUUAUGCCAUGUAAGGGCCAGGCAAGGAAUUGAAAUGUGUUAAUUAAAUCAAAGAAGUUGUGUGAAGCAUAUUAUCUGGGUUGUCGUGU